This is a long non-coding RNA of Epinephelus lanceolatus (giant grouper), 816 nucleotides long. RefSeq lists it as uncharacterized. The record is from RefSeq and is a predicted model, not a curated record. NCBI's taxonomy places the organism in Eukaryota, Metazoa, Chordata, Actinopteri, Perciformes, Serranidae.
CAGUGCAGGAGACCAGAGACAAAGACGUUUUAGUAGUCUCUGUGUGUUCAGCUCUCAGUAGUUGCACGUUCUGACUGAAUUUCUAGCCCCGUUUGGAUAGGAAUUGUGCAAAUUUGCAGGAAAGCCCAGUCUUCAUUCAGCAUUGGCAGUAUAAAAACACAGGGAGUGCGGCAAAAUGCGCCUACCUACUUUUGUUUAUACAGAAUGCGCCCUUUUCGGGGCAAUGGGGGCGUGAUCAAGUAACAAAACGUGUAGCUCAGCGUGUGACGUAAACAGUGACGUGGGAAGGAAGCCGCUGCUGGUCAGUCUUUCGGCGAUUCUCUCGUAAAUCGGCCCGUUCUUCACCACCCCCGUCAUCUGAUGGUUAAUGGCCUCUUCGUUUGCGAGGAAGGAAGGAAAGCUCUAACCUGCUGGUGGUGCCAGAGGAAAAAUAAUGGGAUCACCAACUUCAAGUUGGGUUCAUCAUCUGGGAACUAUGAAUUUCGUGCAUCGUAAAGCAGAGAAUGAGCCCUUCAUAUCUACAUAGAGAGAGCGUCCUCUUGCACGGAGCCCGCCAUGCUGAACCGACGUUUUUCUACAGUAGCCCACAACAGACAAAACAAACACUGACUCCAGAUGGGGCUUUUCACAUUUUCCAUUCCCUGAAGGCCACCAUAGAUCCCUCCACAGGCCUGGAAAGGGAGGGGUGAGGGGAGGGGGCUCAGUUGGUUGCAGUCUGCAGCCUUAUCACCAGAUGCCACUAAAUCCAUAGCACACACUGCUACUUUUAGAUGUCUCAAUCUUGACCAAAGUGGUGGACGGAUCAACCACAUCACC